UACGUAGGUGGCAAGCGUUAUCCGGAAUUAUUGGGCGUAAAGCGCGCGCAGGCGGUUUCUUAAGUCUGAUGUGAAAGCCCACGGCUCAACCGUGGAGGGUCAUUGGAAACUGGGGAACUUGGGUGCAGAAGAGAAAAGCGGAAUUCCACGUGUAGCGGUGAAAUGCGUAGAGAUGUGGAGGAACACCAGUGGCGAAGGCGGCUUUUUGGUCUGUAACUGACGCUGAGGCGCGAAAGCGUGGGGAGCAAACAGG
Molecule: ribosomal RNA, 253 nt
Filed under: uncultured bacterium
Lineage: Bacteria
Description: partial 16S ribosomal RNA
Rfam family: Bacterial small subunit ribosomal RNA
Source: RNAcentral